Molecule: ribosomal RNA, 2831 nt
Filed under: human gut metagenome
Description: bacterial LSU rRNA
Rfam family: Bacterial large subunit ribosomal RNA
Source: RNAcentral
UCAAGCUGAAAAGAGCGCAAGGGGAAUGCCUUGGCAUCAGGAGCCGACGAAGGACGUGACAAGCUGCGAUAAGCCACGGGGAGGAGCAAAUAUCCGUUAUAUCCGUGGAUUUCCGAAUGGGGGAACCCGCUCAAGCAAUACUUGAGCAUCGUGCGUUGAAUCAAAUAGGCGUACGAAGGGAACGGCCUGAACUGAAACAUCUAAGUAGGGCCAGGAAAAGACAUCAACCGAGAUUCCGCUAGUAGUGGCGAGCGAACGCGGAGGAGGCCAAACCGAGGGACGCAAGUUCUUCGGGGUUGCGGACAGACAUCAAGACCAGAGGUAAUUAAGAGAACGGCGUGGGAAAGCCGGCCACAGAAGGUGAGAGCCCUGUAUCUGAAAAUGAAGACUGGCAGUCUGGAUCCAGAGUACCGCGGGACACGUGAAACCCCGUGGGAAACCGGGUGGACCACCAUCCAAGCCUAAAUACUACCUGAUGACCGAUAGAGGAGCAGUACCGUGAGGGAAAGGUGAAAAGGACCCCGGGAGGGGAGUGAAAGAGAACCUGAAACCUUGUGCCUACAAGCACAUAGAGCACAUCAACGUGUGAUAUGGUACUUUUUGUAGAACGGUCCGGCGAGCGAUUGUAUGUUGCGAGCUUAAGGUCUUAAGGACUGGAGGCGUAGCGAGAGCGAGUCUGAACAGGGCGUUCAGUAACAUGCAAUGGGCCCGAAACCGGGUGACCUACCCAUGAUCAGGCUGAAGUGAAAGUAAAAUUUCAUGGAGGGCCGAACCGACCUCCGUUGAAAAGGCGGCGGAUGAAUUGUGGGUAGCGGAGAAAUUCCAAUCGAACUCGGAGAUAGCUGGUUCUCCCCGAAAUAGCUUUAGGGCUAGCGUUAUGUUAGAUUACCGGAGGUAAAGCACUGAAUGGUGGCGGGGCCGAUAAGGUUACCAAGACCUAUCAAACUCUGAAUGCCGGAUAAUUGAUGCAUAGCAGUCAGACAGCGUGAGAUAAGUUUCGUUGUCAAAAGGGAAACAGCCCAGACCCACAGCUAAGGUCCCAAAUUCAUGCUAAGUGGAAAACGAUGUGGAAUUGCGAAAACAACCAGGAUGUUGGCUUAGAAGCAGCCACUCAUUAAAAGAGUGCGUAAUAGCUCACUGGUCGAGUGACUCUGCGCGGAAAAUAUAACGGGGCUAAGCAUGAAACCGAAGCUUGGGCUUGUACUUAGGUACAGGGGUAGGGGAGCGUCGAGUAUGGGGUGAAGUCAGAGCGGAAGCACUGGUGGACUGUACUGGAGUGAGAAUGCCGGAAUGAGUAGCGAGAAUUAUGUGGGAAUCAUAAUGGCCGAAAAUCUAAGGUUUCUUGGGGAAGGUUCGUCCGCCCAAGGUAAGUCGGGAGCUAAGCUCAGGCCGAGAGGCGUAGGCGAUGCACAUACGGUAGAAAUUCCGUAACCACCGAAACUUAAACAGAGGGACACUUCGAAAUAGCGGAACCCGGGCGUUGGUUGACCCGGGCGAAAGGGAGCGAAAUUAGAGUAGCGAAGUCCGCGAUGUUCGGAGGCGAGAAAAGCUCUGAGGUAUGCUAAGGUGCCCGUACCGCAAACCGACACAGGUAGAUGAGGAGAGAAUCCUAAGGCCAACGGGAGAAGGGUUGUUAAGGAACUCGGCAAAUUGACCCCGUAACUUCGGGAGAAGGGGUGCUCCAGAGAUGGAGCCGCAGAGAAUCGGCCCAAGCAACUGUUUACCAAAAACACAGGUUUGUGCUAAAUCGAAAGAUGACGUAUACGAGCUGACGCCUGCCCGGUGCUGGAAGGUUAAGAGGAGAUGUGCAAGCAUUGAAUCGAAGCCCCAGUGAACGGCGGCCGUAACUAUAACGGUCCUAAGGUAGCGAAAUUCCUUGUCAGGUAAGUUCUGACCCGCACGAAAGGUGUAACGAUUUGGGCGCUGUCUCGGCAGCAGACUCGGUGAAAUCUUAGUACCUGUGAAAAUGCAGGUUACCCGCAACUAGACGGAAAGACCCCAUGGAGCUUUACUGCAGCCUGAUAUUGAAUUCUGGUCAUACAUGUACAGGAUAGGUGGGAGACAAAGAGACGUGCACGCCAGUGUACGAGGAGUCGACGUUGGGAUACCACUCUUGUGUGACCGGGGUUCUAACCUGGUAUCGAGAACAGGUACGGGGAGAGUGUCAGGUGGGCAGUUUGACUGGGGCGGUCGCCUCCCAAAGAGUAACGGAGGCGCCCAAAGGUACGCUCAGAUUGGAUGGAAACCAAUCGUCGAGUGCAAUUGCAGAAGCGUGCUUGACUGUGAGACAGACAAGUCGAACAGGGACGAAAGUCGGGAAUAGUGAUCCGGCGGUGCCGAAUGGAAGGGCCGUCGCUCAACGGAUAAAAGCUACCCUGGGGAUAACAGGCUGAUCUCGCCCAAGAGUUCACAUCGACGGCGAGGUUUGGCACCUCGAUGUCGGCUCAUCGCAUCCUGGAGCUGGAUUCGGUUCCAAGGGUUGGGCUGUCCGCCCAUUAAAGCGGUACGCGAGCUGGGUUCAGAACGUCGUGAGACAGUUCGGUCCCUAUCUGUUGUGGGCGAAGGAGAUCUGCGGAGAGCUGUCCUCAGUACGAGAGGACCGGGAUGGACCUACCGCUGGUGCACCGGUUGUUCCGCCAGGGGCAUAGCCGGGUAGCUAAGUAGGGAAAGGAUAAGCGCUGAAAGCAUCUAAGCACGAAGCCUACUCCAAGAUGAGAUCUCCCAUUCGCAAGAAGUAAGACCCCUUAAAGACGAUAAGGUAGAUAGGCCAGGGAUGGAAGUGCAGUGAUGUACGGAGUUGACUGGUACUAAUCGGUCGAGGACUUAAUCAG